RNAcentral lists this unclassified non-coding RNA (17822 nucleotides) under Leishmania donovani. Its description in RNAcentral is "gene:unknown". The record is from RNAcentral. Lineage: Eukaryota; Euglenozoa; Kinetoplastea; Trypanosomatida; Trypanosomatidae.
CACGCAUUCAAGAUGCAGCAAUUUUGCCCUCACAUCGCAGGCGCCGCUCCCACACACUGCCCGAGUCCGUAUCCUCGCACUUCCUGUCAAACUCGCGUGCGUCGAUAAUUCGCUCAUCGCUGUGCACCACCCCUCGGCGCCUGUUUGUGUGUCCGUUUCGUAGGUUGGUUUCGCUCUCUUAUAGAUCAGAAUAUCUCCAUACAAGCCGUCAGAACAACGAAGCCGCCCCCCAUCACUGCCCCCUCUACGUACACCGUUGUUGCCUUUUUUUCGUGGCUGCGGAGUAACCUGUGCAUCUGCGCAGACAUACUCGCCCACCGCACACAGACAUCGACAGACACACGAACCGAAAGAAACGCACGUGCCGAGAAGAGCAGACAGGCGCACGUGCCUUCUGUGAGAAUCUGCCACUGCUCAUCUUCGGUUCCCCUCUCUUUUCCCCUGCAUCGUUCUCUCCACGGGUGUACAUCUGCGCGAUCUCGUCGUUCCUCGAGUCGUAGUGAAGUCUCGUCUCGCCUUCGUCUUGCUCCGCAUAUCGUCGCCUUCCUCCUUUGGCGUUAUUACUGUCCCGCUCGUCAAAUAAGCUCGACAUCUGUCCUCCGUGAUUGUGCGAGUGCCUUUCUCUGUCUUCACUUCCUCGGUGCGUCUGGUGGUGGUUGCGCCUCUUUUUGAGAUUCCUGUAGUUGUCACCUCGUUUCAAAUUGUUUUCAUCUUUUCCAGGUAUAGAUCCUUGUGUGUUUGCACGCCUUCCGUGGUCGCUGUCUUUACUGCGUCGGUUGGUUGCAGACACCUCUUUUCGUCGACUAUAUAUUUCUUUCGCCCUCGUCUUUUACAUCUAUUCCCAUUCGUUCUCUCAUCUCCCUAUAUAUUUGUUUUUCCCACCCGCGGCUCUUCCUCUCCCUCACUCCCUCGGUGCGUGUGGUGGUGGUUGCGCCUCUCUUGUCGAUUCCUGUAGUUGUCACCUCGUUUCAAAUUGUUUUCAUAUUUUGCAGGUAUAGAUCCUUGUGUGUUUGCACGCCUUCCGUGGUUGCUGUCUUUACUGCGUCGGUUGGUUGCAGACACCUCUUUUCGUCGACUAUAUAUUUCUUUCGCCCUCGUCUUUUACAUCUAUUCCCAUUCGUUCUCUCAUCUCCCUAUAUAUUUGUUUUUCCCCCCCGCGGCUCUUCCUCUCCCUCACUCCCUCGGUGCGUGUGGUGGUGGUUUGCCUCUCUUGUCGAUUCCUGUAGUUGUCACCUCGUUUCAAAUUGUUUUCAUCUUUUGCAGGUAUAGAUCCUUGUGUGUUUGCACGCCUUCCGUGGUUGCUGUCGUUACUGCGUCGGUUGGUUGCAGACACCUCUUUUCGUCGACUAUAUAUUUCUUUCGCCCUCGUCUUUUACAUCUAUUCCCAUUCGUUCUCUCAUCUCCCUAUAUAUUUGUUUUUCCCCCCCGCGGCUCUUCCUCUCCCUCACUCCCUCGGUGCGUGUGGUGGUGGUUUGCCUCUCUUGUCGAUUCCUGUAGUUGUCGCCUCGUUUCAAAUUGUUUUCAUCUUUUGCAGGUAUAGAUCCUUGUGUGUUUGCACGCCUUCCGUGGUUGCUGUCGUUACUGCGUCGGUUGGUUGCAGACACCUCUUUUCGUCGACUAUAUAUUUCUUUCGCCCUCGUCUUUUACAUCUAUUCCCAUUCGUUCUCUCAUCUCCCUAUAUAUUUGUUUUUCCCCCCCGCGGCUCUUCCUCUCCCUCACUCCCUCGGUGCGUGUGGUGGUGGUUUGCCUCUCUUGUCGAUUCCUGUAGUUGUCGCCUCGUUUCAAAUUGUUUUUCGAAAAUCAAGCGUGUGUGUUUGCACGCCUUCCGUGGUUGCUGUCGUUACUGCGUCGGUUGGUCGCAGACACCUCUUUUCGUCGACUAUAUAUAUAUUUCUUUCGCCCUCGUCUUUUACAUCUGUUCCCAUUCGUUCUCUCAUCUCCAUAUAUAUUUGUUUUUCCCACCCGCGGCUCUUCCUCUCCCUCACUCCCUCGGUGCGUGUGGUGGUGGUUCGCCUCUUUUUGAGAUUCCUGUAGUUGUCGCCUCGUUUCAAAUUGUUUUUCGAAAAUCAAGCGUGUGUGUUUGCACGCCUUCCGUGGUUGCUGUCGUUACUGCGUCGGUUGGUCGCAGACACCUCUUUCCGUCGACUAUAUAUAUAUUUCUUUCGCCCUCGUCUUGUGCAUUUACGCGAAUUCUCCCCUCCCCUAUAUAUUUGUUUUUCCCACCCGCGGCUCUUCCUCUCCCUCACUCCCUCGGUGCGUGUGGUGGUGGUUGCGCCUCUUUUUGAGAUUCCUGUAGUUGUCACCUCGUUUCAAAUUGUUUUUCGAAAAUCAAGCGUGUGUGUUUGCACGCCUUCCGUGGUUGCUGUCGUUACUGCGUCGGUUGGUCGCAGACACCUCUUUUCGUCGACUAUAUAUUUCUUUCGCCCUCGUCUUUUGCAUUUACGCGAAUUCUCCCCUCCCCUAUAUAUUUGUUUUUCCCACCCGCGGCUCUUCCUCUCCCUCACUCCCUCGGUGCGUGUGGUGGUGGUUUGCCUCUCUUGUCGAUUCCUGUAGUUGUCACCUCGUUUCAAAUUGUUUUCAUCUUUUGCAGGUAUAGAUCCUUGUGUGUUUGCACGCCUUCCGUGGUUGCUGUCGUUACUGCGUCGGUUGGUUGCAGACACCUCUUUUCGUCGACUAUAUAUUUCUUUCGCCCUCGUCUUUUACAUCUAUUCCCAUUCGUUCUCUCAUCUCCCUAUAUAUUUGUUUUUCCCCCCGCGGCUCUUCCUCUCCCUCACUCCCUCGGUGCGUGUGGUGGUGGUUUGCCUCUCUUGUCGAUUCCUGUAGUUGUCGCCUCGUUUCAAAUUGUUUUCAUCUUUUGCAGGUAUAGAUCCUUGUGUGUUUGCACGCCUUCCGUGGUUGCUGUCGUUACUGCGUCGGUUGGUUGCAGACACCUCUUUUCGUCGACUAUAUAUUUCUUUCGCCCUCGUCUUUUGCAUCUACUCCCAUUCGUUCUCUCAUCUCCCUAUAUAUUUGUUUUUCCCACCCGCGGCUCUUCCUCUCCCUCACUCCCUCGGUGCGUGUGGUGGUGGUUGCGCCUCUCUUGUCGAUUCCUGUAGUUGUCGCCUCGUUUCAAAUUGUUUUCAUCUUUUGCAGGUAUAGAUCCUUGUGUGUUUGCACGCCUUCCGUGGUUGCUGUCGUUACUGCGUCGGUUGGUUGCAGACACCUCUUUUCGUCGACUAUAUAUUUCUUUCGCCCUCGUCUUUUACAUCUACUCCCAUUCGUUCUCUCAUCUCCCUAUAUAUUUGUUUUUCCCACCCGCGGCUCUUCCUCUCCCUCACUCCCUCGGUGCGUGUGGUGGUGGUUGCGCCUCUCUUGUCGAUUCCUGUAGUUGUCGCCUCGUUUCAAAUUGUUUUCAUCUUUUGCAGGUAUAGAUCCUUGUGUGUUUGCACGCCUUCCGUGGUUGCUGUCGUUACUGCGUCGGUUGGUUGCAGACACCUCUUUUCGUCGACUAUAUAUUUCUUUCGCCCUCGUCUUUUACAUCUACUCCCAUUCGUUCUCUCAUCUCCCUAUAUAUUUGUUUUUCCCCCCCGCGGCUCUUCCUCUCCCUCACUCCCUCGGUGCGUGUGGUGGUGGUUUGCCUCUCUUGUCGAUUCCUGUAGUUGUCGCCUCGUUUCAAAUUGUUUUUCGAAAAUCAAGCGUGUGUGUUUGCACGCCUUCCGUGGUUGCUGUCGUUACUGCGUCGGUUGGUCGCAGACACCUCUUUUCGUCGACUAUAUAUAUAUUUCUUUCGCCCUCGUCUUUUACAUCUGUUCCCAUUCGUUCUCUCAUCUCCAUAUAUAUUUGUUUUUCCCACCCGCGGCUCUUCCUCUCCCUCACUCCCUCGGUGCGUGUGGUGGUGGUUCGCCUCUUUUUGAGAUUCCUGUAGUUGUCGCCUCGUUUCAAAUUGUUUUUCGAAAAUCAAGCGUGUGUGUUUGCACGCCUUCCGUGGUUGCUGUCGUUACUGCGUCGGUUGGUCGCAGACACCUCUUUCCGUCGACUAUAUAUAUAUUUCUUUCGCCCUCGUCUUGUGCAUUUACGCGAAUUCUCCCCUCCCCUAUAUAUUUGUUUUUCCCACCCGCGGCUCUUCCUCUCCCUCACUCCCUCGGUGCGUGUGGUGGUGGUUGCGCCUCUUUUUGAGAUUCCUGUAGUUGUCACCUCGUUUCAAAUUGUUUUUCGAAAAUCAAGCGUGUGUGUUUGCACGCCUUCCGUGGUUGCUGUCGUUACUGCGUCGGUUGGUCGCAGACACCUCUUUUCGUCGACUAUAUAUUUCUUUCGCCCUCGUCUUUUGCAUUUACGCGAAUUCUCCCCUCCCCUAUAUAUUUGUUUUUCCCACCCGCGGCUCUUCCUCUCCCUCACUCCCUCGGUGCGUGUGGUGGUGGUUGCGCCUCUCUUGUCGAUUCCUGUAGUUGUCACCUCGUUUCAAAUUGUUUUCAUAUUUUGCAGGUAUAGAUCCUUGUGUGUUUGCACGCCUUCCGUGGUUGCUGUCUUUACUGCGUCGGUUGGUUGCAGACACCUCUUUUCGUCGACUAUAUAUUUCUUUCGCCCUCGUCUUUUACAUCUAUUCCCAUUCGUUCUCUCAUCUCCCUAUAUAUUUGUUUUUCCCCCCCGCGGCUCUUCCUCUCCCUCACUCCCUCGGUGCGUGUGGUGGUGGUUUGCCUCUCUUGUCGAUUCCUGUAGUUGUCGCCUCGUUUCAAAUUGUUUUCAUCUUUUGCAGGUAUAGAUCCUUGUGUGUUUGCACGCCUUCCGUGGUUGCUGUCGUUACUGCGUCGGUUGGUUGCAGACACCUCUUUUCGUCGACUAUAUAUUUCUUUCGCCCUCGUCUUUUGCAUCUACUCCAUUCGUUCUCUCAUCUCCCUAUAUAUUUGUUUUUCCCACCCGCGGCUCUUCCUCUCCCUCACUCCCUCGGUGCGUGUGGUGGUGGUUGCGCCUCUCUUGUCGAUUCCUGUAGUUGUCACCUCGUUUCAAAUUGUUUUCAUCUUUUGCAGGUAUAGAUCCUUGUGUGUUUGCACGCCUUCCGUGGUUGCUGUCGUUACUGCGUCGGUUGGUUGCAGACACCUCUUUUCGUCGACUAUAUAUUUCUUUCGCCCUCGUCUUUUACAUCUAUUCCCAUUCGUUCUCUCAUCUCCCUAUAUAUUUGUUUUUCCCCCCCGCGGCUCUUCCUCUCCCUCACUCCCUCGGUGCGUGUGGUGGUGGUUUGCCUCUCUUGUCGAUUCCUGUAGUUGUCGCCUCGUUUCAAAUUGUUUUUCGAAAAUCAGCGUGUGUGUUUGCACGCCUUCCGUGGUUGCUGUCGUUACUGCGUCGGUUGGUCGCAGACACCUCUUUUCGUCGACUAUAUAUAUUUCUUUCGCCCUCGUCUUUUACAUCUGUUCCCAUUCGUUCUCUCAUCUCCAUAUAUAUUUGUUUUUCCCACCCGCGGCUCUUCCUCUCCCUCACUCCCUCGGUGCGUGUGGUGGUGGUUCGCCUCUUUUGAGAUUCCUGUAGUUGUCGCCUCGUUUCAAAUUGUUUUUCGAAAAUCAAGCGUGUGUGUUUGCACGCCUUCCGUGGUUGCUGUCGUUACUGCGUCGGUUGGUCGCAGACACCUCUUUCGUCGACUAUAUAUAUAUUUCUUUCGCCCUCGUCUUUUGCAUUUACGCGAUUCUCCCUCCCUAUAUAUUUGUUUUUCCCACCCGCGGCUCUUCCUCUCCCUCACUCCCUCGGUGCGUGUGGUGGUGGUUGCGCCUCUUUUUGAGAUUCCUGUAGUUGUCGCCUCGUUUCAAAUUGUUUUUCGAAAAUCAAGCGUGUGUGUUUGCACGCCUUCCGUGGUUGCUGUCGUUACUGCGUCGGUUGGUCGCAGACACCUCUUUUCGUCGACUAUAUAUUUCUUUCGCCCUCGUCUUUUCAUUUACCAUUCUCCCUCCCCUAUAUAUUUGUUUUUCCCCCCGCGGCUCUUCCUCUCCCUCACUCCCUCGGUGCGUGUGGUGGUGGUUGCCUCUCUUGUCGAUUCCUGUAGUUGUCGCCUCGUUUCAAAUUGUUUUCAUUUUUGCAGGUAUAGAUCCUUGUGUGUUUGCACGCCUUCCGUGGUUGCUGUCGUUACUGCGUCGGUUGGUUGCAGACACCUCUUUUCGUCGACUAUAUAUUUCUUUCGCCCUCGUCUUUUGCAUCUAUCCCAUUCGUUCUCUCAUCUCCCUAUAUAUUUGUUUUUCCCACCCGCGGCUCUUCCUCUCCCUCACUCCCUCGGUGCGUGUGGUGGUGGUUGCGCCUCUCUUGUCGAUUCCUGUAGUUGUCACCUCGUUUCAAAUUGUUUUCAUCUUUUGCAGGUAUAGAUCCUUGUGUGUUUGCACGCCUUCCGUGGUUGCUGUCGUUACUGCGUCGGUUGGUUGCAGACACCUCUUUUCGUCGACUAUAUAUUUCUUUCGCCCUCGUCUUUUACAUCUAUUCCCAUUCGUUCUCUCAUCUCCCUAUAUAUUUGUUUUUCCCCCCGCGGCUCUUCCUCUCCCUCACUCCCUCGGUGCGUGUGGUGGUGGUUGCCUCUCUUGUCGAUUCCUGUAGUUGUCGCCUCGUUUCAAAUUGUUUUUCGAAAAUCAAGCGUGUGUGUUUGCACGCCUUCCGUGGUUGCUGUCGUUACUGCGUCGGUUGGUCGCAGACACCUCUUUUCGUCGACUAUAUAUAUUUCUUUCGCCCUCGUCUUUUACAUCUUUCCCAUUCGUUCUCUCAUCUCCAUAUAUAUUUGUUUUUCCCACCCGCGGCUCUUCCUCUCCCUCACUCCCUCGGUGCGUGUGGUGGUGGUUGCGCCUCUUUUGAGAUUCCUGUAGUUGUCGCCUCGUUUCAAAUUGUUUUUCGAAAAUCAAGCGUGUGUGUUUGCACGCCUUCCGUGGUUGCUGUCGUUACUGCGUCGGUUGGUCGCAGACACCUCUUUCCGUCGACUAUAUAUAUAUUUCUUUCGCCCUCGUCUUGUGCAUUUACGCGAAUUCUCCCUCCCCUAUAUAUUUGUUUUUCCCACCCGCGGCUCUUCCUCUCCCUCACUCCCUCGGUGCGUGUGGUGGUGGUUGCGCCUCUUUUGAGAUUCCUGUAGUUGUCGCCUCGUUUCAAAUUGUUUUUCGAAAAUCAAGCGUGUGUGUUUGCACGCCUUCCGUGGUUGCUGUCGUUACUGCGUCGGUUGGUCGCAGACACCUCUUUUCGUCGACUAUAUAUUUCUUUCGCCCUCGUCUUUUGCAUUUACGCGAAUUCUCCCCUCCCCUAUAUAUUUGUUUUUCCCACCCGCGGCUCUUCCUCUCCCUCACUCCCUCGGUGCGUGUGGUGGUGGUUCGCCUCUCUUGUCGAUUCCUGUAGUUGUCGCCUCGUUUCAAAUUGUUUUUCGAAAAUCAAGCGUGUGUGUUUGCACGCCUUCCGUGGUUGCUGUCGUUACUGCGUCGGUUGGUCGCAGACACCUCUUUUCGUCGACUAUAUAUUUCUUUCGCCCUCGUCUUUUGCAUUUACGCGAUUCUCCCUCCCCUAUAUAUUUGUUUUUCCCACCCGCGGCUCUUCCUCUCCCUCACUCCCUCGGUGCGUGUGGUGGUGGUUGCGCCUCUCUUGUCGAUUCCUGUAGUUGUCACCUCGUUUCAAAUUGUUUUCAUCUUUUGCAGGUAUAGAUCCUUGUGUGUUUGCACGCCUUCCGUGGUUGCUGUCGUUACUGCGUCGGUUGGUUGCAGACACCUCUUUUCGUCGACUAUAUAUUUCUUUCGCCCUCGUCUUUUGCAUCUACUCCCAUUCGUUCUCUCAUCUCCCUAUAUAUUUGUUUUUCCCACCCGCGGCUCUUCCUCUCCCUCACUCCCUCGGUGCGUGUGGUGGUGGUUGCGCCUCUUUUGAGAUUCCUGUAGUUGUCGCCUCGUUUCAAAUUGUUUUUCGAAAAUCAAGCGUGUGUGUUUGCACGCCUUCCGUGGUUGCUGUCGUUACUGCGUCGGUUGGUCGCAGACACCUCUUUCCGUCGACUAUAUAUAUUUCUUUCGCCCUCGUCUUGUGCAUUUACGCGAUUCUCCCCUCCCUAUAUAUUUGUUUUUCCCACCCGCGGCUCUUCCUCUCCCUCACUCCCUCGGUGCGUGUGGUGGUGGUUGCGCCUCUUUUUGAGAUUCCUGUAGUUGUCGCCUCGUUUCAAAUUGUUUUUCGAAAAUCAAGCGUGUGUGUUUGCACGCCUUCCGUGGUUGCUGUCGUUACUGCGUCGGUUGGUCGCAGACACCUCUUUUCGUCGACUAUAUAUUUCUUUCGCCCUCGUCUUUUGCAUUUACGCGAAUUCUCCCUCCCCUAUAUAUUUGUUUUUCCCACCCGCGGCUCUUCCUCUCCCUCACUCCCUCGGUGCGUGUGGUGGUGGUUGCGCCUCUCUUGUCGAUUCCUGUAGUUGUCACCUCGUUUCAAAUUGUUUUCAUCUUUUGCAGGUAUAGAUCCUUGUGUGUUUGCACGCCUUCCGUGGUUGCUGUCGUUACUGCGUCGGUUGGUUGCAGACACCUCUUUUCGUCGACUAUAUAUUUCUUUCGCCCUCGUCUUUUGCAUCUACUCCCAUUCGUUCUCUCAUCUCCCUAUAUAUUUGUUUUUCCCACCCGCGGCUCUUCCUCUCCCUCACUCCCUCGGUGCGUGUGGUGGUGGUUGCGCCUCUCUUGUCGAUUCCUGUAGUUGUCGCCUCGUUUCAAAUUGUUUUCAUCUUUUGCAGGUAUAGAUCCUUGUGUGUUUGCACGCCUUCCGUGGUUGCUGUCGUUACUGCGUCGGUUGGUUGCAGACACCUCUUUUCGUCGACUAUAUAUUUCUUUCGCCCUCGUCUUUUGCAUCUACUCCCAUUCGUUCUCUCAUCUCCCUAUAUAUUUGUUUUUCCCACCCGCGGCUCUUCCUCUCCCUCACUCCCUCGGUGCGUGUGGUGGUGGUUGCGCCUCUCUUGUCGAUUCCUGUAGUUGUCACCUCGUUUCAAAUUGUUUUCAUCUUUUGCAGGUAUAGAUCCUUGUGUGUUUGCACGCCUUCCGUGGUUGCUGUCGUUACUGCGUCGGUUGGUUGCAGACACCUCUUUUCGUCGACUAUAUAUUUCUUUCGCCCUCGUCUUUUACAUCUAUUCCCAUUCGUUCUCUCAUCUCCCUAUAUAUUUGUUUUUCCCCCCCGCGGCUCUUCCUCUCCCUCACUCCCUCGGUGCGUGUGGUGGUGGUUUGCCUCUCUUGUCGAUUCCUGUAGUUGUCGCCUCGUUUCAAAUUGUUUUUCGAAAAUCAAGCGUGUGUGUUUGCACGCCUUCCGUGGUUGCUGUCGUUACUGCGUCGGUUGGUCGCAGACACCUCUUUUCGUCGACUAUAUAUAUAUUUCUUUCGCCCUCGUCUUUUACAUCUGUUCCCAUUCGUUCUCUCAUCUCCAUAUAUAUUUGUUUUUCCCACCCGCGGCUCUUCCUCUCCCUCACUCCCUCGGUGCGUGUGGUGGUGGUUCGCCUCUUUUUGAGAUUCCUGUAGUUGUCGCCUCGUUUCAAAUUGUUUUUCGAAAAUCAAGCGUGUGUGUUUGCACGCCUUCCGUGGUUGCUGUCGUUACUGCGUCGGUUGGUCGCAGACACCUCUUUCCGUCGACUAUAUAUAUAUUUCUUUCGCCCUCGUCUUGUGCAUUUACGCGAAUUCUCCCCUCCCCUAUAUAUUUGUUUUUCCCACCCGCGGCUCUUCCUCUCCCUCACUCCCUCGGUGCGUGUGGUGGUGGUUGCGCCUCUUUUUGAGAUUCCUGUAGUUGUCACCUCGUUUCAAAUUGUUUUUCGAAAAUCAAGCGUGUGUGUUUGCACGCCUUCCGUGGUUGCUGUCGUUACUGCGUCGGUUGGUCGCAGACACCUCUUUUCGUCGACUAUAUAUUUCUUUCGCCCUCGUCUUUUGCAUUUACGCGAAUUCUCCCCUCCCCUAUAUAUUUGUUUUUCCCACCCGCGGCUCUUCCUCUCCCUCACUCCCUCGGUGCGUGUGGUGGUGGUUUGCCUCUCUUGUCGAUUCCUGUAGUUGUCGCCUCGUUUCAAAUUGUUUUCAUCUUUUGCAGGUAUAGAUCCUUGUGUGUUUGCACGCCUUCCGUGGUUGCUGUCGUUACUGCGUCGGUUGGUUGCAGACACCUCUUUUCGUCGACUAUAUAUUUCUUUCGCCCUCGUCUUUUGCAUCUACUCCCAUUCGUUCUCUCAUCUCCCUAUAUAUUUGUUUUUCCCACCCGCGGCUCUUCCUCUCCCUCACUCCCUCGGUGCGUGUGGUGGUGGUUGCGCCUCUCUUGUCGAUUCCUGUAGUUGUCACCUCGUUUCAAAUUGUUUUCAUCUUUUGCAGGUAUAGAUCCUUGUGUGUUUGCACGCCUUCCGUGGUUGCUGUCGUUACUGCGUCGGUUGGUUGCAGACACCUCUUUUCGUCGACUAUAUAUUUCUUUCGCCCUCGUCUUUUACAUCUACUCCCAUUCGUUCUCUCAUCUCCCUAUAUAUUUGUUUUUCCCCCCGCGGCUCUUCCUCUCCCUCACUCCCUCGGUGCGUGUGGUGGUGGUUUGCCUCUCUUGUCGAUUCCUGUAGUUGUCGCCUCGUUUCAAAUUGUUUUUCGAAAAUCAAGCGUGUGUGUUUGCACGCCUUCCGUGGUUGCUGUCGUUACUGCGUCGGUUGGUCGCAGACACCUCUUUUCGUCGACUAUAUAUAUAUUUCUUUCGCCCUCGUCUUUUACAUCUGUUCCCAUUCGUUCUCUCAUCUCCCUAUAUAUUUGUUUUUCCCACCCGCGGCUCUUCCUCUCCCUCACUCCCUCGGUGCGUGUGGUGGUGGUUCGCCUCUUUUUGAGAUUCCUGUAGUUGUCGCCUCGUUUCAAAUUGUUUUUCGAAAAUCAAGCGUGUGUGUUUGCACGCCUUCCGUGGUUGCUGUCGUUACUGCGUCGGUUGGUCGCAGACACCUCUUUCCGUCGACUAUAUAUAUAUUUCUUUCGCCCUCGUCUUGUGCAUUUACGCGAAUUCUCCCCUCCCCUAUAUAUUUGUUUUUCCCACCCGCGGCUCUUCCUCUCCCUCACUCCCUCGGUGCGUGUGGUGGUGGUUGCGCCUCUUUUUGAGAUUCCUGUAGUUGUCACCUCGUUUCAAAUUGUUUUUCGAAAAUCAAGCGUGUGUGUUUGCACGCCUUCCGUGGUUGCUGUCGUUACUGCGUCGGUUGGUCGCAGACACCUCUUUUCGUCGACUAUAUAUUUCUUUCGCCCUCGUCUUUUGCAUUUACGCGAAUUCUCCCCUCCCCUAUAUAUUUGUUUUUCCCACCCGCGGCUCUUCCUCUCCCUCACUCCCUCGGUGCGUGUGGUGGUGGUUGCGCCUCUUUUGAGAUUCUUGUAGUUGUCACCUCGUUUCAAAUUGUUUUUCGAAAAUCAAGCGUGUGUGUUUGCACGCCUUCCGUGGUUGCUGUCGUUACUGCGUCGGUUGGUCGCAGACACAUCUUUUCGUCGACUAUAUAUAUAUUUCUUUCGCCCUCGUCUUUUGCAUUUACGCGAAUUCUCCCCUCCCCUAUAUAUUUGUUUUUCCCACCCGCGGCUCUUCCUCUCCCUCACUCCCUCGGUGCGUGUGGUGGUGGUUGCGCCUCUUUUUGAGAUUCUUGUAGUUGUCACCUCGUUUCAAAUUGUUUUUCGAAAAUCAAGCGUGUGUGCUUGCACGCCUUCCGUGGUUGCUGUCGUUACUGCGUCGGUUGGUCGCAGACACCUCUUUUCGUCGACUAUAUAUUUCUUUCGCCCUCGUCUUUUGCAUUUACGCGAAUUCUCCCCUCCCCUAUAUAUUUGUUUUUCCCACCCGCGGCUCUUCCUCUCCCUCACUCCCUCGGUGCGUGUGGUGGUGGUUGCGCCUCUUUUGAGAUUCCUGUAGUUGUCGCCUCGUUUCAAAUUGUUUUUCGAAAAUCAAGCGUGUGUGUUUGCACGCCUUCCGUGGUUGCUGUCGUUACUGCGUCGGUUGGUCGCAGACACCUCUUUUCGUCGACUAUAUAUAUAUUUCUUUCGCCCUCGUCUUUUGCAUUUACGCGAAUUCUCCCCUCCCCUAUAUAUUUGUUUUUCCCACCCGCGGCUCUUCCUCUCCCUCACUCCCUCGGUGCGUGUGGUGGUGGUUGCGCCUCUUUUUGAGAUUCCUGUAGUUGUCACCUCGUUUCAAAUUGUUUUUCGAAAAUCAAGCGUGUGUGCUUGCACGCCUUCCGUGGUUGCUGUCGUUACUGCGUCGGUUGGUCGCAGACACCUCUUUUCGUCGACUAUAUAUAUAUUUCUUUCGCCCUCGUCUUUUGCAUUUACGCGAAUUCUCCCCUCCCCUAUAUAUUUGUUUUUCCCACCCGCGGCUCUUCCUCUCCCUCACUCCCUCGGUGCGUGUGGUGGUGGUUGCGCCUCUUUUGAGAUUCUGUAGUUGUCACCUCGUUUCAAAUUGUUUUUCGAAAAUCAAGCGUGUGUGCUUGCACGCCUUCCGUGGUUGCUGUCGUUACUGCGUCGGUUGGUCGCAGACACCUCUUUUCGUCGACUAUAUAUAUAUUUCUUUCGCCCUCGUCUUUUGCAUUUACGCGAAUUCUCCCCUCCCCUAUAUAUUUGUUUUUCCCACCCGCGGCUCUUCCUCUCCCUCACUCCCUCGGUGCGUGUGGUGGUGGUUCGCCUCUCUUGUCGAUUCCUGUAGUUGUCACCUCGUUUCAAAUUGUUUUUCGAAAAUCAAGCGUGUGUGUUUGCACGCCUUCCGUGGUUGCUGUCGUUACUGCGUCGGUUGGUCGCAGACACCUCUUUUCGUCGACUAUAUAUAUUUCUUUCGCCCUCGUCUUUUGCAUUUACGCGAAUUCUCCCCUCCCCUAUAUAUUUGUUUUUCCCACCCGCGGCUCUUCCUCUCCCUCACUCCCUCGGUGCGUGUGGUGGUGGUUGCGCCUCUUUUUGAGAUUCCUGUAGUUGUCACCUCGUUUCAAAUUGUUUUUCGAAAAUCAAGCGUGUGUGCUUGCACGCCUUCCGUGGUUGCUGUCGUUACUGCGUCGGUUGGUCGCAGACACCUCUUUUCGUCGACUAUAUAUUUCUUUCGCCCUCGUCUUUUGCAUUUACGCGAAUUCUCCCCUCCCCUAUAUAUUUGUUUUUCCCACCCGCGGCUCUUCCUCUCCCUCACUCCCUCGGUGCGUGUGGUGGUGGUUGCGCCUCUUUUUGAGAUUCCUGUAGUUGUCACCUCGUUUCAAAUUGUUUUUCGAAAAUCAAGCGUGUGUGUUUGCACGCCUUCCGUGGUUGCUGUCGUUACUGCGUCGGUUGGUCGCAGACACCUCUUUUCGUCGACUAUAUAUUUCUUUCGCCCUCGUCUUUUGCAUUUACGCGAAUUCUCCCUCCCCUAUAUAUUUGUUUUUCCCACCCGCGGCUCUUCCUCUCCCUCACUCCCUCGGUGCGUGUGGUGGUGGUUGCGCCUCUCUUGUCGAUUCCUGUAGUUGUCACCUCGUUUCAAAUUGUUUUUCGAAAAUCAAGCGUGUGUGCUUGCACGCCUUCCGUGGUUGCUGUCGUUACUGCGUCGGUUGGUCGCAGACACCUCUUUUCGUCGACUAUAUAUUUCUUUCGCCCUCGUCUUUUGCAUUUACGCGAAUUCUCCCCUCCCCUAUAUAUUUGUUUUUCCCACCCGCGGCUCUUCCUCUCCCUCACUCCCUCGGUGCGUGUGGUGGUGGUUCGCCUCUCUUGUCGAUUCCUGUAGUUGUCACCUCGUUUCAAAUUGUUUUUCGAAAAUCAAGCGUGUGUGUUGCACGCCUUCCGUGGUUGCUGUCGUUACUGCGUCGGUUGGUCGCAGACACCUCUUUUCGUCGACUAUAUAUUUCUUUCGCCCUCGUCUUUUGCAUUUACGCGAAUUCUCCCCUCCCCUAUAUAUUUGUUUUUCCCACCCGCGGCUCUUCCUCUCCCUCACUCCCUCGGUGCGUGUGGUGGUGGUUGCGCCUCUUUUGAGAUUCCUGUAGUUGUCACCUCGUUUCAAAUUGUUUUUCGAAAAUCAAGCGUGUGUGCUUGCACGCCUUCCGUGGUUGCUGUCGUUACUGCGUCGGUUGGUCGCAGACACCUCUUUUCGUCGACUAUAUAUUUCUUUCGCCCUCGUCUUUUGCAUUUACGCGAAUUCUCCCCUCCCCUAUAUAUUUGUUUUUCCCACCCGCGGCUCUUCCUCUCCCUCACUCCCUCGGUGCGUGUGGUGGUGGUUCGCCUCUCUUGUCGAUUCCUGUAGUUGUCACCUCGUUUCAAAUUGUUUUUCGAAAAUCAAGCGUGUGUGCUUGCACGCCUUCCGUGGUUGCUGUCGUUACUGCGUCGGUUGGUCGCAGACACCUCUUUUCGUCGACUAUAUAUUUCUUUCGCCCUCGUCUUUUGCAUUUACGCGAAUUCUCCCCUCCCCUAUAUAUUUGUUUUUCCCACCCGCGGCUCUUCCUCUCCCUCACUCCCUCGGUGCGUGUGGUGGUGGUUGCGCCUCUCUUGUCGAUUCCUGUAGUUGUCACCUCGUUUCAAAUUGUUUUUCGAAAAUCAAGCGUGUGUGUUUGCACGCCUUCCGUGGUUGCUGUCGUUACUGCGUCGGUUGGUCGCAGACACCUCUUUUCGUCGACUAUAUAUUUCUUUCGCCCUCGUCUUUUGCAUUUACGCGAAUUCUCCCCUCCCCUAUAUAUUUGUUUUUCCCACCCGCGGCUCUUCCUCUCCCUCACUCCCUCGGUGCGUGUGGUGGUGGUUGCGCCUCUCUUGUCGAUUCCUGUAGUUGUCACCUCGUUUCAAAUUGUUUUUCGAAAAUCAAGCGUGUGUGUUGCACGCCUUCCGUGGUUGCUGUCGUUACUGCGUCGGUUGGUCGCAGACACCUCUUUUCGUCGACUAUAUAUUUCUUUCGCCCUCGUCUUUUGCAUUUACGCGAAUUCUCCCCUCCCCUAUAUAUUUGUUUUUCCCACCCGCGGCUCUUCCUCUCCCUCACUCCCUCGGUGCGUGUGGUGGUGGUUGCGCCUCUUUUUGAGAUUCCUGUAGUUGUCACCUCGUUUCAAAUUGUUUUUCGAAAAUCAAGCGUGUGUGUUUGCACGCCUUCCGUGGUUGCUGUCGUUACUGCGUCGGUUGGUCGCAGACACCUCUUUUCGUCGACUAUAUAUAUUUCUUUCGCCCUCGUCUUUUGCAUUUACGCGAAUUCUCCCCUCCCCUAUAUAUUUGUUUUUCCCACCCGCGGCUCUUCCUCUCCCUCACUCCCUCGGUGCGUGUGGUGGUGGUUGCGCCUCUUUUGAGAUUCUGUAGUUGUCACCUCGUUUCAAAUUGUUUUUCGAAAAUCAAGCGUGUGUGUUUGCACGCCUUCCGUGGUUGCUGUCGUUACUGCGUCGGUUGGUCGCAGACACCUCUUUUCGUCGACUAUAUAUUUUUCUUUCGCCCUCGUCUUUUGCAUUUCCGAUUCUCCCUCCCCUAUAUAUUUGUUUUUCCCACCCGCGGCUCUUCCUCUCCCUCACUCCCUCGGUGCGUGUGGUGGUGGUUCGCCUCUCUUGUCGAUUCCUGUAGUUGUCGCCUCGUUUCAAAUUGUUUUUCGAAAAUCAAGCGUGUGUGUUUGCACGCCUUCCGUGGUUGCUGUCGUUACUGCGUCGGUUGGUCGCAGACACAUCUUUUCGUCGACUAUAUAUAUUUCUUUCGCCCUCGUCUUUUGCAUUUACGCGAAUUCUCCCCUCCCCUAUAUAUUUGUUUUUCCCACCCGCGGCUCUUCCUCUCCCUCACUCCCUCGGUGCGUGUGGUGGUGGUUGCGCCUCUUUUUGAGAUUCCUGUAGUUGUCACCUCGUUUCAAAUUGUUUUUCGAAAAUCAAGCGUGUGUGUUUGCACGCCUUCCGUGGUUGCUGUCGUUACUGCGUCGGUUGGUCGCAGACACCUCUUUUCGUCGACUAUAUAUUUCUUUCGCCCUCGUCUUUUGCAUUUACGCGAAUUCUCCCCUCCCCUAUAUAUUUGUUUUUCCCACCCGCGGCUCUUCCUCUCCCUCACUCCCUCGGUGCGUGUGGUGGUGGUUGCGCCUCUUUUUGAGAUUCCUGUAGUUGUCGCCUCGUUUCAAAUUGUUUUUUCGAAAAUCAAGCGUGUGUGUUUGCACGCCUUCCGUGGUUGCUGUCGUUACUGCGUCGGUUGGUCGCAGACACAUCUUUUCGUCGACUAUAUAUAUAUUUCUUUCGCCCUCGUCUUUUGCAUUUACGCGAAUUCUCCCCUCCCCUAUAUAUUUGUUUUUCCCACCCGCGGCUCUUCCUCUCCCUCACUCCCUCGGUGCGUGUGGUGGUGGUUCGCCUCUUUGUGAUUCUGUAGUUGUCACCUCGUUUCAAAUUGUUUUUCGAAAAUCAAGCGUGUGUGUUUGCACGCCUUCCGUGGUUGCUGUCGUUACUGCGUCGGUUGGUUGCAGACACCUCUUUCCGUCGACUAUAUAUAUAUUUCUUUCGCCCUCGUCUUUUGCAUUUACGCGAAUUCUCCCCUCCCCUAUAUAUUUGUUUUUCCCACCCGCGGCUCUUCCUCUCCCUCACUCCCUCGGUGCGUGUGGUGGUGGUUGCGCCUCUUUUGAGAUUCUUGUAGUUGUCACCUCGUUUCAAAUUGUUUUUCGAAAAUCAAGCGUGUGUGUUUGCACGCCUUCCGUGGUUGCUGUCGUUACUGCGUCGGUUGGUCGCAGACACAUCUUUUCGUCGACUAUAUAUUUCUUUCGCCCUCGUCUUUUGCAUUUACGCGAAUUCUCCCCUCCCCUAUAUAUUUGUUUUUCCCACCCGCGGCUCUUCCUCUCCCUCACUCCCUCGGUGCGUGUGGUGGUGGUUGCGCCUCUUUUUGAGAUUCUUGUAGUUGUCACCUCGUUUCAAAUUGUUUUUCGAAAAUCAAGCGUGUGUGUUUGCACGCCUUCCGUGGUUGCUGUCGUUACUGCGUCGGUUGGUUGCAGACACCUCUUUCCGUCGACUAUAUAUAUAUUUCUUUCGCCCUCGUCUUGUGCAUUUACGCUCAUUCUCUCAUAUCCCUUUUUUUGGUCAGAUCGGAGCCUGACGCUGUCUCGCGAUGCGCUCUUGGCGGUGUGCUCUGUCGGGUCUGCCGUCUCCGUUGCUCUUUUUUUGGCGUCGCAGACGCUUAUGGUGUUGCUACCUCUUUCUGUAAAGUGCAGAAUCUCGGCGUCCUUCGAGAGCGACAGAUGAGGAAUGAUGUGUGUGUGUUGUCGACGUGGAUGUUCUGUAUUUAACGAGCUAUCAGGUUUUUUUUUUUCGGCCGCGUGUGUUUUAGAGCUAUAUGUUUCCUCUCUCUUUCUAUAAAGCGCUGUGGGUCGGAGAUCGAUAUGCGGGUUGGGAAACUGUAUAAGUGUGUGCUUAAGUGUAUAUUUGUGGGUGGGUCCGACGGAUUUGGUUCUUCCUAUUUUCCUGGGGACGUUGGUUGCUCUACGUAUGGUUUGGUGGCGUGGCGCUAGGGGUGUGUGGCGCUGUGGAUGUUGAAUGCUGGGGGCGCGUGCUCAGGCGUGCGCGUGCGUGGUGAAGUGAAGAGGUGGAAUUGUGUGGCAGAGGAGGUGUGCUUCGGCUGGUUGUCGCGCAUAGCAGCUUGUAUGGGAGAGCAGCAAGAACUGUUGCGUGCCUGAAAACAAAAUGAACAGAAAGGCUGUCGGCGGGCUUCUCUUUGGCUUUUUGAGUCUCAAUCGAUGAGAGUGAAGUGGGACGCUGCGCAUGCGACUGCUGACAAGGGAGUGACCCAGGCCUCGUCAGCCGCUCUCUCCCCUUUUCUCUCCCUGCCUCGGAAGUGUCCAGCGCCGGUGAUGUCGUACAUGUCUGAAGAGGGUUUCCUCUCCAUGGCUCCUCGAGGCGCCCAUACAUGUCGACAUGUGGACAAAUGCACAGCGAUACACAUACGCCUCCUUCCCUCAACCCCGAGUGCGCUCCCACCGGUCACCAGCGGUGCUUCACACAG